This is a long non-coding RNA of Paramormyrops kingsleyae, 695 nucleotides long. RefSeq lists it as uncharacterized. The record is from RefSeq and is a predicted model, not a curated record. NCBI's taxonomy places the organism in Eukaryota, Metazoa, Chordata, Actinopteri, Osteoglossiformes, Mormyridae.
UAUCACUCAGGCAACGCCCUUAUCAGCUGUAGUUCUUUUUCAAUAUGGGGUAUAAGGAGGAGGAAAGUGGAUCUGUAUCAUUACCUCAACAUUCGUACUGGUUUGAUUUCUGCCUGUUUAUUCUUUUUAAUAUCGCAUUUUUCCUUGUGAUCUAUUUUUUUGUCCCAUAACACUGCGGAUGAGGCCAAACUACGUUACUGGGACCAAAGAAGGAGCAGUGGUUACAUCUGUACACGUUUUCUGGGAGGUCGGCCGUGUGGAAGCUUAACCACAAUUGGAUCCUGCCACCAGCAGUUUUUAAAAUGCUAAUUUAUUAUGAUUUUUCCCCCCCUCCCUAAGAUCAAAAUGUUUCCAUCUUGACAUUUUCGCAGUAUUUCUGGCUUUUGAGAAGCAUCUAUAUUUUGUUAUGCAUGGAUUCAAAAGCGCUUUAUACCUGAUCUGUAGGUCUAGAGCUGUAACUAAUACGCGAGCCAAAGCGAUCAACCAUUUAUAACCGGAUCGGUUUUUUCUAUAAAAUCAUGACCUGAAACUGAUGCAUGAAUCAGAGUUUGUAAAUGAUCUCAGGAAAACUUUGUUGAAUUGGUCAGGGUAUAGUUUCUCCAGCUUGGAAAAUGUUAAAGAACCACAUUUGUAUGGUUAAACAAUUUACAUUUAUUUACACUUAUUUAAAUCCAUUAAAAAUGAAACUAACAUUA